CUGAGCCGCCGUGCGCGGGGCUGAACGUUGGGAGCCGGCGGUUGGAGGCGCGGCUCUCCUCACACAGCGUCGCUGCCGCAGCCUGGGCCGCCCCGCAGGAGACCGCGGCGGCAGCCGGAGCUGUCCGGGCAGCACCGAGAGGGAAGCCGCGGCACCACGGGAGCGAGUGCUGAGGACAGCUGUGCCGGAGCAGUACAGUGUUUCAGAAGAGAGAAAAGCAUGGUGGGCAUCAACUGGAUUUCUGUGCUUGGUAAAGCUGCGCUGAGAACUGGGCUGACUCUUGCACCUGGAAAUGCGUGCAACGUCUGCAGACACAGAGGCAUAACUUUUCCCUGCAGGUUGAGCUUGUCUAAGGGUGGUGAUUGCUGGGUGAGCUUCUGCUUUAAAGCAUCAGGUUGUACAAAGAAGGAACUGUACUGCGUUCAGUUCUGGGUCCCUCACUGCACGAAGGACACUGAAACCCUGACAUGUGUCCAGAGAGGAGCAGGGAAGCUGUGGGGGUCCAGAGCACCAGUCUUACGGGGAGCGGCUGAGGGAACUGGGAUUAUUUAGCCUGGAGAAGAGGAGGCUCAGGGAAGGCCUUCUCACACUCUGCAGUUGGCUGCAGAGAGGUGAUGUCGAGGUGGGGUCGUCCUCUUCUCCCGUGUAAGCAGUGAUAGACUGGAGGGAAGGCCUCAAGUGGCACGAGGGGAGAUUCAGGUCGGAUGUGAAGAAAAACGUCUCCACAGGAGCGGUCAGACACUGGAACGGGCUGCCCAGGGAGGUGACAUUGUUACUGUCCCUGCAGGUGUUCAAGGAGCAUUGGGUGUUGUACCGAGCGACGCGGCUCAGCGGGAAAUGGUGGUGGUAGGUGGGUGGUUGGACUGGAUGAUCUUGGAGAUCUUUUCCAGCCUUGCUAAUUCUACGGUUCUAUGAAAGGCAUGUGCUGGGCGAGUGCUUUGCUGGGUGAGCAGGCAGCUGCUGCCACAUCCACGGGGAUGGGAGGCUUUUUAACCUGAGCCUUGUCUUUGGUGUCUGGUGCCCAGUAAGUCGUGUUGUUUUAAAGCAGCGUCUCGAUUUCUGCAGCCACCAGAGCUCUCCCUCAUGCUCUUCCCUGUGACGUGAGACCGCGUCGAAGGCCUUGCAGACGUCUGGCUCCUCUUUAGAUAUCGAAAGGCUGUUACCAGGUCACCUCGGAGCCUUCGCUCCUCCACGCUGAACAGCCCCAGCUCUCUCAGCCUGUCCUUGGAGGAGAGGGGUUUGAUCCUUUGGUUCUUUGAUUUUUGGGACCGUCCUCUGGAUGUGCUCCAACGGGUCCGUGUCCCUUCUGCCCUGAGGACUCUUCGUAUGGACACAGCGCUCCAGCUCGGUGUCGUCAGCAAAUUCUCUGAGGGUGCGCCCGACCCGCCGGUGCUGUCACUGAUGCAGAUAUUGAAGAGUCUCAGCCCCAGCUCGGUGCUCUUUCCCAGCACAGAGGGACUUCACCUGAUUGCCAUGACUUCUCAAAUACCGCUGAGAGUGG
This is a non-coding RNA of Meleagris gallopavo (turkey), 1501 nucleotides long. The record is from RefSeq and is a predicted model, not a curated record. Lineage: Eukaryota; Metazoa; Chordata; Aves; Galliformes; Phasianidae.